UACGUAGGGUCCGAGCGUUGUCCGGAAUUAUUGGGCGUAAAGAGCUCGUAGGCGGUCUGUCGCGUCUGCUGUGAAAACUCAGGGCUUAACCCUGAGCUUGCAGUGGGUACGGGCAGACUAGAGUGCGGUAGGGGAGACUGGAAUUCCUGGUGUAGCGGUGAAAUGCGCAGAUAUCAGGAGGAACACCGGUGGCGAAGGCGGGUCUCUGGGCCGUAACUGACGCUGAGGAGCGAAAGCAUGGGGAGCGAACAGG
RNAcentral lists this ribosomal RNA (253 nucleotides) under uncultured bacterium. Its description in RNAcentral is "partial 16S ribosomal RNA". It matches the Rfam family "Bacterial small subunit ribosomal RNA", at positions 524 to 776 of the family's 1533-position model. The record is from RNAcentral.